UAAUGCCCGAUGGGCUAAUGUCACCUCUACUAGCAGGAGCUAGAACAAAGUCUCGUAUGGACUGACUUUACAAAGAGCUGAUAGCAUAUACAGUCAAGGUUUACAUGCAGAACAUCCCCAGAAGGGACCAAGGCUGUCUACCAGAAAGCCAAAGGUCGUAUUCGGUUUGAUCAUUAGGAAUCAGUGGGCUCUCAGCCUAGGCGCAAGGCAUUCGUUUCCAAGGUCGGUUCAGUUCAUGCAUAAUUAGGACAAGCUUGACGUAUCGCCUAAGAGUUAUUUAUGUAUUAGCUUCAUUUUGUUGAUGAUUUCUAGUGCUUAAAUCUCUUGAUAUUCCUGGCCCCAUAAUCUUACAAUUGCGUCAUUCUUUUUGUCUGUAUGAGUUUAAUACUGGAUUCGCAAUAGCAGUUUAACCUCCCUGUUGGGCUUUUUUG
Long non-coding RNA from Rhododendron vialii, 431 nucleotides. RefSeq lists it as uncharacterized. Lineage: Eukaryota; Viridiplantae; Streptophyta; Magnoliopsida; Ericales; Ericaceae. The record is from RefSeq and is a predicted model, not a curated record. The transcript has 2 exons.